UCCAAUACCAGAUGGCUUAACUGCUGACGAGAUUUCAUCUGGGAAUGUAGUAGCUAUUGUGUUUGCUAUUAACGCCAAUUGCAAAGCGAGUUUCAAACAAUGCUUAACUGAUAGAGUGACGGAACAAGAACCGCAGAACAAAAUCACCUGCAUCAUCUAUGAUGAAUUUAUGUACUUCUCUGAAUCUGUGGCUAAUGAUCUAAACAUUCCAAGUAUACUCUUACGCACGCAAAGUGCUACCAAUUUUAUUGCUCGCAACGCUCUGAUACAACUUCAUUCGAAAGGUUGCACUCCCUUCCCAGGUAUGUGCCCUGUUUCCUCUUGUCUACAUUUCUUUCUGCAAACAAGGAAAGAGGCUAAUGCCUGGGUCAUUUUUCUUAGAGUAUGGUGUUAUUUUUCUUACUUAUAAAUUAUAACUAACACUAUAACUCGGGAUCACAGACUCUAUGUUACUGAACUCGGUGCCCGAGCUUCAUCCCCUCAGGUUCAAGGAUCUCCCCAUCUAUAUUUUCGACACAGUUGAAAACUAUUCGAAACUAUUGACUAAUGCCAACAAUGUUAGAACAUCCUCAGCCAUAAUUUGGAACACCCUGGACUGCCUUGAACAAUCAUCACUAGCACAGAUCAAGCAACAAUGUCAAGUUCCAAUCUUCUCCAUAGGUCCUCUUCACAAAGUUUCAACAGCAGCCACCAGUAGUUUACUAGAAGAAGACACCAGCUGUGUUGCGUGGCUGGACAAACAAUCCCAUAACUCAGUUAUCUAUGUAAGCUGGGGGAGUCUGGUAUCCAUCAGUGAAAAAGAACUAGCCGAAAUGGCUUGGGGAUUAACUAGGAGCAGGCAACCUUUUUUGUGGGUGAUUAGGCCCGGAUCAAUUUGCGGUUCUGAUUGGAUCGAGCUACUGCCUCAAGGUUUCCUAGAAGCUGUUGGAGAAAGAAGUUGCAUCGUGAAAUGGGCACCCCAGAUGGAAGUCUUGGCUCAUGGCGCAGUGGGCGGGUUCUGGAGCCAUUGUGGUUGGAACUCAACCCUGGAAAGUAUAUCUGAAGGGGUUCCGAUGUUAUGCAGGCCGUGCUUUACCGAUCAGACGGUGAAUGCAAGGUGUGUGAGCGAAGUAUGGAAAAUAGGGAUACAAUUGGAGAAUGAAUUAGAGAGGGGAGAGAUAGAGAGAACUGUUAAAAAACUUAUGGUGGAUGAGGAUGGGAAGGGAAUGAGGGUGAGGGCCAAGGAGUUGAAGGAGAAAAUAGAAGUUAGUAUGAAGGGUGGCUCUACCUACCAUUCCUUGAACGAGCUUGUGGAGUUUAUAAGGUCAUUUUAAUUGGAACAAGAAGUGUUUUUUUCUCUUUUCUCAACUAAGUGCUUUUUGGAAGAAAUUAACACAAUCAUUCCCUCCCCCUAAGCCAUCCUUACAGUAUUUGGUGGGAGAUGUUGAUUGCUAGGCCUCUUUGUAUUCUGAUAAAUAAGUAAUGUACAUCGUGUAAGAGUCAAAAUAUUUUUUCCACUUUCAAAAACAUGUCCCUUGUGAAAUAAAUAAGAUCGUCUGUAAACUGUUUAUCUGUUCAUGUUGAUGUUGUUACUGUGCUUAUGACCAUCACCAUUUGAUUUAUAAAGAUUGACUAUUGAGCAUAGGGUUUAGGGUGUAUAAUUAUAUCAAAAGAAUAAUUAAAUGAAAAUUCAAGACGACACGGCGUACCAAAUAAAUAGAGGAUGCUGGCUCAUCAAUUUCUUGCUUGAACUUAAUAAGAAAUCAUUACAAUAAAAUUAUUAACAUAAGGAAAAAAUAGUAUCAUGUAGCAAACAACUAGUCAUUGUUUGCUGAAAGAGGAUCAGUAGGACUUAUUCCAUGAAGAUGCAGCCAAGUUUGACAAAGAUGUUUAGGAAUUAUUACAUCAAGUCAGUUCUUCCUCUAAUACCAGACACAACAACCAGCCAAUCUACUUUUCAAUAUCAAUCCAUGAAUUGCAGCAGCCAGCUGUGCUGAGAACUACAAGCUUAUGUUCCAAACAAAUGGAAAAAGACAAACUUAUUAUUAAUUGGCCUAUCUAAAUAUUAUUACAAAAUUAGUGAAAUACCCAUUCCUAGACAUGAAACUAUAAAUAUACCCUAUACUAUUUAAAGUAUAGAAACACACCCAAAAUAAACCCAAAAAUCGACAGCUAUCGAUUUUUUAAAUUCAAUAGCAAUGUUGAAUUAUUGUUUUGCCCUUUUGCCCAAAAUAAACCCAGCUCCAAGGCUCAAUUAAAAUAAUCGACGAUUGCUCCUUCAAAAUCUCGGAGCUAGUUUGUGAGAAAUCGAUGAGCUGCCAAUUUAACUAACCUCACCGUCGGAGCCGCAGCUCUAAUUUUCAUUGCUUUCUAGAUCUCUCACUUGCUUUCUCACAGAUCUUGCAGCUAUUUCCAGAUCUCAUAGCUCAAUCUCUGGCAUCUUAGUCAUAUGCAAGGUUUUUUUACAACUCAGGAGGUGGACUCGGGUCCUGAUCCAUGAGGCCGACUCUUUCCUCCAUCAACAAUGAUGCGUUGCAGAGGCCUUUUCUCUAUUCGGUGAGAUCAUCGAAUCGAAGAUCAUCAACGACCGUGAGACCGAGAGGUCUAGGGGCUUCGGCUUCGUCACUUUCAACCACGAGAAGGCCAUAAGGGACGCGAUCGAAGGCAUAAACGGCUAGAACAUCGACGGUCAUAACAUCACCGUCAAUGAGGCCCAAUCUGGUGGAAGCGGCGAUGGUGGUGGUGGUAAUGGAGGUUAAAGCUGUGGAGGAUAUGGUGGCGUUGGCUACGGAUCUAACGGCGUUGGCUACUAAGGUGGCGAUCAUCGUGAAGGCGGUGGGGAUAGCGUCUCGAUGACGAUUCAGUUUAGGUCACUAAGGUAAUUUGUAUUUGAUAUUCAUUUGAGUUUUGAAUUGUGAUUUUAAUUUUUUGUUGUUUAUAAUUUGGUUUGAUUUUAGAUUCGGUUUGGUUGUGAAUUUGAUCUUGUGUUUUGGUUUGAGCUGUGAUUAAAAAUUUGUGAUAUUGAUCAACUUUAAUCUCAAGUGAAAGAAGGUGCCCAUAGCCAUUGCCCGGCCAUUCACAUCAUGAUACCAUUGACUAUCACUGAGGUAAUGAAGGUAACACUUUCAAAUAGUUCUAUGACAUAGUAUUAACAGUAUACUUCUAUGACUUAGUAUUAACAGUGUACUUUUUUUUUCUUGUAGAUGUAUUUCCUUUUGCCUUUGCGAUUAUUUCUGAUGAAACUAUGGACAAUUGGAGGUGGUUUCUACACAGGAUAUCGGAUGUCUUGAUGGUUUUUUUUUGAGUUUUUUUGUAUGAAAUGGUAUUAACAAUGUUUUUUAUGAAAUUGUAUUAACAAUGUUUUCUAUAAAAUGGUAGUAAAAAUGUUUUUUAUGAAAUUGUAUUAACAAUGUACUUCUAUGACAUGAUAUUAACAAUGUACGUCUAUGAUAUGGUAUUAACAAUGUACUUCUAUGAAAUGGUAUUAACAAUGGUUUAUUGUAUGAAAUGGUAUUAACAAUGUUCUAUUUGUAUGAAAUGGUAUUAACAAUAUCUUUUUGUAAGAAAUGGUAUUAAAAAUAUUUUUGUAUGAAAUGGUAUUAACAAUGUUCUAUUUGUAUGAAAUGGUAUUAACAAUAUCUUUUUGUAAGAAAUGGUAUUAAAAUUUUUUUUUUUUUUUGGGUAUGAAAUUGUAUUAACAAUGUUUUUGUAUGAAAUGGUAUUAACAAUGUUUUCCUAUGAAAUGGUAUUAACAAUGUACUUCUAUGACAUGGUUUCCAGAGGUUCGAUGGAGAAGGAAGGGUCGUAAGGGCAUGCCCUUGGUUUUUGUUUUUAUUUUAUUUUUUAUUUUAAAAAAAAUCUAGGUUGGGCUUGUUUUGGGUUUUUAUGGGUUUUUUGUAUUGGGCUUUUUUUAAGUUAGUUAGUGGCAGUCAUGUAAUUUAUAGGAAAUUCAACACUCAUUUUGUAUGUAGUAAAUGAUUUUUGGGUAUGUUUCUAAAGUGUAUUUCAUGUAGGGUUUUUUUAUAAUUUCAGCCUCUAUUUUGGGUAUAUCACUAAAGCUCCCAAAUAUUAUCUGCUUAGCAUGGUCUCUAUAUAUUACAUACUCAAGGCCCAAUGAAUUUCAAGGAGACAGUCAAGCAAUAUAAAGCUUCCAUAGCCACAAGCUAUUGAGUGUCUUUGUGCGCGUGUGUGUGUGCGCGCUUAUCGGUGAGACAGAAGAGGAAGAGGGAAGGGGGGAGAUGGAAAAGAAAGCCGAGAGUGGUCAACUGUUGGUCUUAGUUCCAUGCCCAUACCAAGGCCACAUAAACCCAAUGCUUAAGCUGGGUAACUUCCUUCACUCAAAGGGCUUUUCCAUUGCAAUUGUUCACACCCAUUUCAACUCUCCAAACCCUUCAAACCACCCCGAAUUCACCUUCUUUCCAAUACCAGAUGGCUUAACUGCUGAUGAGAUUUCAUCUGGGAAUGCAGUAACUAUUGUGUUAGCUAUUAACGCCAAUUGCAAAGCUAGUUUCGAACAAUGCUUGACUGAUAGAGUGACGGAACAAGAACUGCAGAACAAAAUCACCUGCAUCAUCUAUGAUGAAUUUAUGUACUUCUCUGAAUCUGUGGCUAAUGAUCUAAACAUUCCAAGUAUACUCUUACGCACGCAAAGUGCUACCAAUUUUAUUGCUCGCAACGCUAUGAUACGACUUCAUUCAAAAGGUUGCACU
RNAcentral lists this long non-coding RNA (4688 nucleotides) under Prunus persica (peach). RNAcentral's name for it is "long non-coding RNA (PPER_LNC005566)". The record is from RNAcentral. Lineage: Eukaryota; Viridiplantae; Streptophyta; Magnoliopsida; Rosales; Rosaceae.